AUUGGAACGCUGGCGGCAUGCCUUACACAUGCAAGUCGAACGAGAAAGUGCCUUCGGGCGCGAGUAAAGUGGCGGACGGGUGAGUAACGCGUAGGAAUCUACCUGGUAGUGGGGGAUAACUCGGGGAAACUCGAGCUAAUACCGCAUACGCUCUACGGAGGAAAGAGGGCCUCUAUUUAUAAGCUCUCGUUAUCAGAGGAGCCUGCGUUGGAUUAGCUAGUUGGUAAGGUAAGGCUUACCAAGGCGACGAUCCAUAGCUGGUCUGAGAGGACGAUCAGCCACACUGGAACUGAGACACGGUCCAGACUCCUACGGGUGGCAG
This 322-nucleotide ribosomal RNA is filed under the name uncultured Pseudomonadota bacterium. Its description in RNAcentral is "bacterial SSU rRNA". It matches the Rfam family "Bacterial small subunit ribosomal RNA", at positions 31 to 351 of the family's 1533-position model. Lineage: Bacteria; Pseudomonadati; Pseudomonadota. The record is from RNAcentral.